GAGGGUAUAGCUCAGUGGUAGAGUGCAUGCUUAGCAUGCACGAAGUCGGGGUCAAUCCCCAGUACCUCCA
RNAcentral lists this transfer RNA (70 nucleotides) under Camelus dromedarius (Arabian camel). It matches the Rfam family "tRNA". From Rfam's summary of the family: Transfer RNA (tRNA) molecules are approximately 80 nucleotides in length. The record is from Rfam by way of RNAcentral. Lineage: Eukaryota; Metazoa; Chordata; Mammalia; Artiodactyla; Camelidae. RNAcentral also lists the same sequence under 1 other name.